GUAACAGAAACUACAAGAUGAUGGUAAUGCUGCUGCUGUUGUUUUUCUAUCCUGUACCUGGGAAGCUUUUAUAAUAUACAUACAAUUGUAUCCUUCCCCUUGGCAAUAUUUUUAAUGUCCUGGAAUCUGGACUUAAAAGAAAAUUUUAUGUUUAGCUGUGUUAGGCAGCUACAGGUAUAUUUAAGUAAGGAACACAGAGUGUGUCAUGAUGAGCAGCUGUUGACCUUCUUAAAGGAUGCAUGACUCCCUUUCUUCAUCCUCAUUUCUAAUAAAAAGGAAUUCACCUCCCCUCAGAAGAAUGCUCUUUUCCUCCUUUUUCACACUGCUCAAUCUCAACUCAAAAGUCUUCUUCUGAGUUUUCCCUUCCUCUGCUAUCUGAAGAGGUCACCUGAAUGAACUUUGUGUCUUCAUGCAUUUUUUAACCUUUAUAGCAAUAAUCAAAUAAAGCAAUUAUCUUAUUUACUAUGUUCAUUUACUAAUUUACAUUUAUACCCUUCCCAUCGGGAAGUAAAUUCCACAUGGCCAGCCACUAUUGAGUGUCCAUUAUCAUCAUAUCCUCAUGUUGAAACUCCUUGAAGGCAGAGGCAAUGUCAAUGAACCAUUUGUAAACAACAUGGAAACUGAAUUUUUAAAACACAAGAUAUUUAACAUAACAAUCUGUUAGCUUUAAUAUUUCUGGAGAUACAUAGAUAUUCCUGCAGUUUACUAACGCAAAGUGGUUUGUUCAGUGGGUAUUUUAUUCAGAUUAGGUUCAAGUUAUUUAGAUAGUUUAUUUGACUCUGUUAUAAUCUAUGUACUUUUUUUUUUGUUUUUUGAUGAUAGUUGCUUCAAAACCUGAAUUCUAUAUAUCUAGCUACUCAAAUGUUGAUCACCCAUAUCAAGUGGUGAGGAAAAAAAUGGGGUUUGCAAUUACAGAGUCCCAGGUUGAGAUUUUAUCUUGGCCAAUGCACUGAAAUGAGAGGAGAAGUUAUUAACCUCUUUGGAUUCCAGCCACCUAUUCUGUGAUAUGGAACAAUAAGCCUAGGAUUAGCAAUAAUUUUUUAAGAGUAUUUGGUGUUCAUUAGGUACUCCGUAAAAGGUAUGCUAUUGUUAUUAUAUGAAGUCAGCCGUACAAUGAGACACCAACAUCAAAUGCUUUCACUGACAUGUGGAAUCUGAAAAAAGGACAGACUGAACUUCUUUGCAGAACAGAUGCUGACUCACAGACAUUGAAAAACUUAAUGGUCUCUGGAGGAGAUAGUUUGGGGGGUAGGGGGAUGUGCUUGGGUUAUGGGAUGGAAAUCCUGUCAAAUUGGAUUGUUAUGAUCAUUAUACAACUACAGAU
RNAcentral lists this long non-coding RNA (1324 nucleotides) under Sus scrofa (pig). RNAcentral describes it as "lncRNA (ENSSSCG00030029321.1)". Lineage: Eukaryota; Metazoa; Chordata; Mammalia; Artiodactyla; Suidae. The record is from RNAcentral.